AUCAGCCAGAGUCAGGUCAACAGCCAUGGCGGAAUCUAAAAGACAGGAGAGGAGGCUUAAGAAACGCCAAAAAGAAAAACAACAGCGAUACCAGAGUAUCUAAAAUAAAUAAAUAAGAAACUCAAAAGUUACACGGAAUUUUCCAGAGGUGUCAAAACGACAAAGGCAGGUGCGCUUGGUGCAGGUAACAAACAGCUAGCGCUAGCGUUAGCAUGUGGGUGCUAUUAGCAAAGACGAUGACAAACACAAAUACCAACAGUGAAGAAGACUAAAUACUGGCACUACCAGGGAGGGCGGACACGGACACAGAAACGGAAACAACUCUCUGAAAUACAUCCACAUCAGGGUUCCGGUCAGUACACAGAGGGGUAACUUCUCCAGGAGACUGAACAGGCCAAAGCGGCUGUAAGCAAAGGGGCAGGUACAGCCCUGACCUGGAUAGAUGGAGCCUUAACUGAUGGCACUGUUGGACCAAAGUGAAUCCCGAGACUUGGCAAAACACAGAUGCCGACCAGUCCUCCUCAGCAACGUCGGGACAUUUUUUGCUGCCAGGAAGCCGAGGACAGACACUUCUAUAGGUCACAGCGGUUGGUGAAGGAGAUAUGGAAAAGAAGAAGAGAGUAUGCAGGAGAGAGGAAGAAGAACAAAGCCACAGAAGGAAGAGAGAGAAGAGGAAAUUAUUCUGAGGGAUGAUGACGACGAUAAAGCCGAAGCAUGGAGUGAUGAAGAGGCAGAUGAAGACACCUCAUGCAUCCCAGCUGAUCAGCGCAGGCCUGGCGUGUUACGAUCUCAGAAUCCCCUGUCUGGGCUACAACGCACUCAGUGACGUCAGAGCCUCUUUGUAUGUGUGUGCAGGCCUCGCUGUCAGCCCCUGCAUGGCUCCGGAGGAGGUAGUGAUAUGGAGGGAGAGCGCGAGAGAGGCGGAGGUGGGAGCAAACAUGGACCAGGAGGAACCACUGUUGGGGCAUUGAGAGAAGCCCAGUACAGCAGGUGAAUGUGACCAGUCUUCGUGUAACUGCAGAUGGACACGCAGUGAGUGCACAUACACCACACAUUUGCAAAACUCAAACACGCACUGACAAAUGUUUCUUCCAUUCAAAUUCCUACUUAAACACACAGACAUCCACCCCACCCAAAACGGUGGCAGUAAACAGGUUUAGCUGAUAAAAUAGCAGUGUUCUCUUAAAAAAAAACAUGCAUAGAUUAGUACAUGAAUGUGUUGUUUGAAACCCACCAAGUUACUCUCUGCACAUUUUGAUCUUAUGCUUUGUCAAAAAAUUUACAACAUGGUUACAUUAUGUUUGUAUUUAACCAUUUAACCAUUACUAGCAAUCCUGUAAACUCGUUGGACUGUUAAGUAUAAUAGACUAUUGCAAACUAAUGUAGAAAGUUACAUUCUGAACCAGGAUAGGCUCUGUAAUAUAGGAAAUAAAUACUGAAAUGGCAAAAACACAAUAUUUAGUUACUAUUUUGGAAAGGACUGAUGACCACUCUUGGCCUAACCUUUCAGAUAUAAAAACACCUGCUUAGUAUUAGUUGUCCUGUAAUUGUGUCACAGUCAUCAUCCAAAUACUUGUUACUUAAUAAAAGUGUCCCACAGAAGAAUACAAAAUACGCACAAUGCCCAAAGCAACAAAAUAUGACAAUAAUUGCCUUCCAGACUUCCAAAGCAUUUGAAACAAAGGAAUGAUAAAUGAAUCAGGAGAGACUCUGUAGCGCUGCAUGCAUAUUCAUUAGAAGGUGCCACACAAAAAUGUUGUCAGAUUCCCUUAUUCAAGCUUAUUUCCCAAUAAGAUGAGGCCCUAAAAAUGUGCAUGUACUGUAUGUCGUUCAAAUUAUUGGACUCCCAAAACUUCUGAAGUUAGAAAAAUUGAAAACAAAAAGAAAAACACGGUGCUUCUUUUGUCCUUUGGUUACCGGGGCGACGCCUCGCUGCAAAUGUUUGCACAUUUUGUUCCUUUCACACAGUUGGGUAGUGUACAUUACCACAGGUGUUCUUCCAAACCUCAAGCAGCUAAAAUCUAAUAUUUUUAAGGGUUUAGCUUUAAAAGGGCCAAGCAGACACACACACACAAUCGGACGAGGAUACAGGAUUUUCCCCAUGUAGGCUAAUGCUGACCUACAGUACAAUAAGCUGGGCCUUCUGUUCACAGGAAGCCUCAAAGUACCCAAACUGCAUUGACAUUAUUCAUAUCACAAAAUCUAAUCCUGUGCCAAACAGGGCUUUGUGUCAUUCAAUACAACCUCUAAAAUAAUGUUUUAACGUGGAGCCUUUGCAACAGUUCUGUGUAGGGCCUGUACGUGCAAACUGCUUCUCUAAUAAUCAGACAUUAUUCAGCCUCAGAAAAUACAUUCAAACUGAGCUUUUUGAAAUUUCUAAUACAUUUUGACACUCACCCCUAAUCUUAAACACAAUUUAAAAAAAAAAUUAACAAUAAAUUCUCAACACAGAAAGAACGUCAAUGAAUAUACACACUCGAUGCUCAAAUGUGAUUUACAGAUGUAAAAGUCUUACAUGUAUAAUAGAAAAUAUACUUCAAAUCAAAACUUGUUCUCGUUUUAGUGACUGCAAAAAUCCUUCGUGUUUCACCCUUUUCUCUUUCCAAACCAGGUUUAACAUUUGGGAGGCAGACGGCAUCUGUACGUCACCUUAUCAAAGUUUGCCCACACCCCUAGAUAACUUGGCCAUCUUCCUGUGUGCACCUGCUUUUCCAACAUGCAACCCGGCACUGGAGAAACACAAAACAAGUCAUCUCCUCGGGCAUUAAGAACAAUCGGGAAUAUCAAAUAAAAAACUUAGAGGAGGAGGGCAUGCGGGAGUCGGAG
Monopterus albus (swamp eel) is the source of this 2826-nucleotide long non-coding RNA. RefSeq lists it as uncharacterized. Lineage: Eukaryota; Metazoa; Chordata; Actinopteri; Synbranchiformes; Synbranchidae. The transcript is spliced from 5 exons. The record is from RefSeq and is a predicted model, not a curated record.